RNAcentral lists this ribosomal RNA (404 nucleotides) under uncultured bacterium. Its description in RNAcentral is "bacterial SSU rRNA". It matches the Rfam family "Bacterial small subunit ribosomal RNA", at positions 355 to 775 of the family's 1533-position model. The record is from RNAcentral.
CAGGGAAUAUUGCACAAUGGGCGAAAGCCUGAUGCAGCAACGCCGCGUGAGGGAUGAAGGUCUUCGGAUUGUAAACCUCUUUUUCGGGGGAAGAGAAGGGACGGUACCCCGAGAAUAAGCAACGGCUAACUACGUGCCAGCAGCCGCGGUAAUACGUAGGUUGCGAGCGUUAUUCGGAUUUACUGGGCGUAAAGCGCACCGAGGUGGCUUCUUAAGUUGGAUGUGAAAUCUCCCGGCUCAACUGGGAGGCGCCAUUCAAAACUGGGAGGCUUGAGACCAGCAGGGGAAAGUGGAAUUCCCGGUGUAGUGGUGGAAUGCGUAGAGAUCGGGAGGAACACCAGUGGCGAAAGCGACUUUCUGGGCUGCGUCUGACACUCUAGUGCGAAAGCGUGGGGAGCAAACAG